RNAcentral lists this ribosomal RNA (492 nucleotides) under uncultured bacterium. RNAcentral describes it as "partial 16S ribosomal RNA". It matches the Rfam family "Bacterial small subunit ribosomal RNA", at positions 30 to 507 of the family's 1533-position model. The record is from RNAcentral.
AUUGAACGCUGGCGGUAGGCCUAACACAUGCAAGUCGAACGGCAGCACAGUAAGAGCUUGCUCUUACGGGUGGCGAGUGGCGGAUGGGUGAGGAAUACAUCGGAAUCUACUUUUUCGUGGGGGAUAACGUAGGGAAACUUACGCUAAUACCGCAUACGACCUACGGGUGAAAGCAGGGGAUCUUCGGCCCUUGCGCGAUUGAAUGAGCCGAUGUCGGAUUAGCUAGUUGGCGGGGUAAAGGCCCACCAAGGCGACGAUCCGUAGCUGGUCUGAGAGGAUGAUCAGCCACACUGGAACUGAGACACGGUCCAGACUCCUACGGGAGGCAGCAGUGGGGAAUAUUGGACAAUGGGCGCAAGCCUGAUCCAGCCAUGCCGCGUGGGUGAAGAAGGCCUUCGGGUUGUAAAGCCCUUUUGUUGGGAAAGAAAAGCAGCAGGUUAAUACCCCGCUGUUCUGACGGUACCCAAAGAAUAAGCACCGGCUAACUUCGUG